This is a small nucleolar RNA of Gossypium raimondii (Peruvian cotton), 150 nucleotides long. It matches the Rfam family "small nucleolar RNA snoR137". NCBI's taxonomy places the organism in Eukaryota, Viridiplantae, Streptophyta, Magnoliopsida, Malvales, Malvaceae. The record is from Rfam.
GUUGCUUCUUCUGAUAAUGGGGGGUACCCGAUUUGAUUUUUUUUGUUACUCUUUAAUGGGAAGCAUACAGUAAAGGGAAAUUGCCAGUUUUAAACAGCAUGAUGCUGUUGUUUAUCUAUUGCAUCGUGUUACCUGUCUGAUGGUAUAUUU